UUGACACAUAGUAAGUGCUUAAAUAAUUCCAUAAAAAAGAGCACAUCCUGGGGUCUUGUACAGUGAUUCUGCUCCUCAUUUUCUUUCAACAGAGAACCUAGAGAGGAGAGAGCCUGUUUUUCUCUUGGCAGUUCCUGAAGACGCUUUGAACUCCAGAAGGAA
This 162-nucleotide long non-coding RNA is filed under the name Ornithorhynchus anatinus (platypus). RNAcentral's name for it is "lncRNA (ENSOANG00000041706.1)". The record is from RNAcentral. Lineage: Eukaryota; Metazoa; Chordata; Mammalia; Monotremata; Ornithorhynchidae.